Molecule: ribosomal RNA, 468 nt
Filed under: uncultured bacterium
Lineage: Bacteria
Description: partial 16S ribosomal RNA
Rfam family: Bacterial small subunit ribosomal RNA
Source: RNAcentral
GACGAACGCUGGCGGCGUGCUUAACACAUGCAAGUCGAACGGAAAGGCCCUGCUUUUGUGGGGUGCUCGGGUGGCGAACGGGUGAGUAACACGUGAGUAACCUGCCCUUGACUUUGGGAUAACUUAAGAAAGCUGGGGCUAAUACCGGCUAGGAGCUCCUGCUGCAGGGUGGGGGUUGGAAAGUUUCGGCGGUUGGGGAUGGACUAGCGGCUUAUCAGCUUGUUGGUGGGGUAGUGGCUUACCAAGGCUUUGACGGGUAGCCGGCCUGCGAGGGUGACCGGCCACAUUGGGCUUGAGAUACGGCCCAGACUCCAACGGGAGGCAGCGGUGGGGAAGAUUGCACAAGGGGCGGAAGCAUGAUGUAGCAACGCCGCGUGCGGGAUGACGGGCAGCGGGUUGUAAACUGCUUUCGCCUGUGACGAAGCGUGAGUGACGGUAAUGGGUAAAGAAGCACCGGCUAACUACGUG